GCAAUGGACGAAAGUCUGACGGAGCGACGCCGCGUGAGCGAAGAAGGUCUUCGGAUCGUAAAGCUCUGUUGUUAGGGAAGAAGAAGUACCGUUCGAAUAGGGCGGUACGGUGACGGUACCUAACGAGAAAGCCCCGGCUAACUACGUGCCAGCAG
RNAcentral lists this ribosomal RNA (155 nucleotides) under uncultured Bacillota bacterium. RNAcentral describes it as "uncultured Firmicutes bacterium partial 16S ribosomal RNA". It matches the Rfam family "Bacterial small subunit ribosomal RNA", at positions 368 to 514 of the family's 1533-position model. The record is from RNAcentral. Lineage: Bacteria; Bacillati; Bacillota.